RNAcentral lists this transfer RNA (65 nucleotides) under Flavobacteriaceae bacterium. RNAcentral's name for it is "tRNA-Ser". The record is from RNAcentral. Lineage: Bacteria; Pseudomonadati; Bacteroidota; Flavobacteriia; Flavobacteriales; Flavobacteriaceae.
GGAUUAGGAAAUUAUUCUUUUGACUGGCAGUCAAGAGGUCGUGGGUUCGAGUCCCAUCUUCUCCA